This 5382-nucleotide unclassified non-coding RNA is filed under the name Leishmania donovani. RNAcentral's name for it is "gene:LdHU3.12.1590(CDS-product:WD_repeat_and_HMG-box_DNA-binding_protein_putative)". The record is from RNAcentral. Lineage: Eukaryota; Euglenozoa; Kinetoplastea; Trypanosomatida; Trypanosomatidae.
UGACCCUGCACCUGCUCACGUCUCAUUCCCACUGUUCCGGUUCCCGCCACAGCGGCCUGUGCAGAGCAGACCACACGCACCAUCACCACAUCACACGCCGACGCACACUAACUCGUUGUUGGUGCCCACCCAAGCAGUGGCGCACGGCCUUGUGCGCGUGGCGUUUUUACUCUUUCUCGUACUCAUAGAAUUCGCAGAGCGUACACACGGUGCAACGACAUCGAAGUAGCGGACGGCUGGGCCUUAACAAACUGUGCAAGCUGGAGAGCGCUCGCAGACACUCGCAUGCUACGCACAAGCGAACUUUUCAAUACAGGAACAGCAAACCUCGACGCUCUCUCUCCGUCUAAACACAUCUUCCAAGACGCCGUGCCGCUUCAUUGCCCCUCCCCCUUCCCCUCCACAACCACCACGUAGCGCUCCGCACAUCGGUUGUGGACACACCAUUUCUUUCAUAGAUAGCUAACAGUAAGAACAAGAAGGGCUGGAGCACGAGAGGGCGCGUCGCCCCUUUCUUCUGCAAGCAUUUGCUGGCUUGCUGCUCUUGCUUCCAUCUGCGUGUGUGCGGACUUACGCUCACCCCCGCACACCGCAGCUCCCGUGUGCCUUUCUUGCGGUAGCCCAACGCCAUCCGCAUCGUCGAGCGUCUCUCCUUUCGCACCGCAGACGCGCGUCGCGCAGGCUGCAAGAACUGCUGUGGCCUUUCGGAUUAUCUCGAGCGCUGCGAUCACUUCGGCUGUCGCCGUCACCUCUUCGUCCGCCCCCUUUGGCGGAAAAGUCGCCUCACACCUGCAGCUCUCACUCUCUCUCUCUCGUGCUCGUCAUGUUGGCGCUUCGCGACGCUCACGCGCACGGCGCAACCCGUGUCAGUAUUGGUGGGCAGCACCUACUCACGGGCGGCGCGGAUGGGGUUGUUUCGCUCUACUCGACGAAGCACUGGCCCACGGCGGCGGCGCUAUGGUCUUUCAGAUGCCAUGACGGGGCUGUCACCGAUGUUGCGCUUGUCGACGCGCUCGAGCUGGCGCUCAGCUGCGGUCGUGACGGUCGCAUACUGUUUCACGAGAGCAUCGCCGACAGCGCCAAGCUUGUCUCUCGCGUGAUAUGUCAGGUCACAGGUGAAGUGCGUUGCAUGCAUAUGGACAUCGAGCGGCGACGGCUAUACAUCGCGGGAGACUCGCUGCGCUGCCUGGACAUGUCGCAGGACAAGUUUCAGAUUCGCACUAUUCCGUUGGUGGUGCCCUUCCCGCUUGUGUCGCUGGCUGUUUCGCCGUGUGGACGGUAUAUCGCCAUGGCCAGCGCGUCUGGGGAGCUCGGCGUGGUGCCGACGCACGCCACAACACCGGCAGAGGCGGGCGCUACACCGAAGACUCAGUUUGUUUUUCGCUCUGUCCUUUCCCCCACCGCGAAGAAAGAGGACACUGCGAUGUACCGGAUGUCAUGGUGCCGCACCGCUAUCAGCGGGCUGAUGCUGAUGGUACCUACAUCCACAGAGGUGCAGGUCUACGCGCUGGAGGACUGUGACAGCAACAGCAGCCUCUCUGCGCCGCGCAUGCGUGCCAUUGGGGGGCUGCAUGAUCGGCACUUUACUGAUCUACACGGCGCGCUUGUCUAUCCAAUCACAAAGACGCAGGUGGCAUGCCUGCUGGCGACGCGCGAUGGGCUCUUUGUGGGGAAAGUACACAGCAAGACGUUGGCCAUGUCGCGCCAUAUGUCGGAGCGCUACAACACCUCGUCUUUCUCAACCCCGAGUAGUGGAGCCGUCGUGGUUGCGGCAGCUGAAGGCGAAGACAGAGGCAGCACAGCUGUGGUCACCGAUGUACAGGUGAAUCCAGUGAACGGAGACGUCGCUGUUGGGCUCACCGACGGACGCAUUUCGCUGCUGCGUCGAGCGUCGCCAAAGGCGUGGAGUUCAGGCACGGCAACCGGCUCAUCGACUGCAUCGAUGGCGGGCAACGCUGAUGAAGAUGCAGAGGGAAUCGCAGAGCAAGAGGAUAAGGCAAAAGUGGACAAUCGGAGCAUGCGUCACAAAAGCCGCGCAUGCCGUGCAGAUAAGAGCGGAUGUGGCGCUGCGCAGACGGAGAAGAGUGACGAUGACUUCAUCGACGACGGCAGCAAUGACGGCACGGCUUCCGUCGACUCCUCCUCGUCGGCGUCCUCGUCCAUUGCGUCUUCGGACAGCGGCGCCGCCCCAGAGGACUUUGGGAAGAUCGUGGUAGACCUGCAGCGCGACGGGGCCUCUCUGCAUGGCCGCGAAAGUGAGCGACCGUCUCGCUGGCGCGAUGAUGAGGAGGUAGCGCUGGCACAUGCCAAGCGCGAGGUGGAACGGCAGCGCGGCCGCAGCCGUUUUCUCGACGACGAGGCUGAGGAAGGGACCCCCAGCGACGACGAAGAGGACGGGCCCGGCGACGAUAACGUGAGGAGGGCACGAGGUCAGGCUUGUGCUCCAUACGACGAGGAGGACCACUUCGGCGACGACCUCUCCAUGGAGGGCCACACCGACGAAAACGGCGACUUGGCAAACGUCUCUUCGGGCCGCGGUGGGGACUCGACGCUGCCGGUCGGCCGCGUGCCGGCGGUGCAGGACUACUCCUUCCAAGUCGGCGCCACCCCACCUGGGGAAGAGGGCAACUGCUAUCUGGCCUACAACUCUGUUGGGUACAUCCAUUGCAGCCGCGACGCCACCACGGUCCACUUCCACGACAUUUCGCAUCCUGCCGUGCGCUUGCAGCUCCGGGACACCGUCCUGAUGGGGACGCUGAGUCCCGUCGGUGCCGCCUUCAUCGUUUUACCGGCUGAUCCGACUGAGGCGCAGGGCAGCGUGGACGAGGCGGCACGGCUCUCCGUCCUCUACCACGCCUUUACGCCCCUUGGUGCGCAGUCGGAGUGGCGUGUGGCGCUGCUGCCAGGCGAGACGGUGCGGUGCAUGGCUGCUGGUAUCCGCUAUGUCGCAGUCGCGACGAGCCACUACCUGCGCAUCUUCUCCCUCUCGGGACUGGAACUGGCGGUGCUCAGCAAGUCCCAGCGCAUCGUCACGAUGGUCGGCACCUCGUCGCGUAAGCUGAUGAGCAGUUUCAAGGCUGAUUUCGACCCAUUGGUCAUCAUCAGCCUCACUGGUACCGGCGAGCUGCAGAUGGAGGUGAUCGAUGUCGGCGCACGCACGUCGGCGCUGCCGCCGCGCACGGUACCGCUCACGGAGCUGCCGGAUGGCUCGACGCAUCAGCUGCAGUGGCUUGGAUGGUCAGAGGACGGCCUGCUACACAUUGUGGACACAGCCGGUGUGGUGCGCCAGUUCACCGAGGACUGGGGUGGCUCGUGGGUCCCGGUGUACGACCCGCGCACGCUGGUGGAUCAGUCGUACGCGCUCUGGGUGUACGGCGUCAGCGAGAGCGCGCUGCUAGCGUAUCGUUACUCUCGCGACGACCCGUCGUACCCGGCGGCGGCGGCGAGCGGGCUGAGCACAGAGCUCGUGCCGCUCUUUCUUCCCUUGACUCGCACGAUGGGCGAGGACGGCCUGGAGCGGUGGGACAAGCUGCUGCGCCAGCAGCUGCGCUGCGACGAGCUCAAGCGGCACAGUACCUUCUACAGCGCAAACAUCGCCAAGUACGACGAAGUGCACGACCACCACCUGCUCCAGUUCUUUGACAGCGCGCUCAAGAGCCAGCAAACAACACGGGCGAUGGAGCUGGCCAUGCUCAUGGAGAUUCACGACCGCGUCGUGAAGUGUGCGCAGCUGGCCAACGCAAACGGGCACGUGAAGCUGGUCCCGAAGCUGCUGGCGCUGUAUGAGAUGCGCAUGGCGACGAAGCAGAAGCGGAAGUGCGGACUGCCAGCAAAGGAGAAGCUCGCGUCUGACAAGAAGAAGGACGAGCUGCUGCACAAGCUGCUCGGACAGAUUUUGCCGCAGGACAAGAGGGCGAAACCUGCCGACAGUGCUGCGGCUGCGCCACCGACGCCCAUCGCUGUCGAGGUGGUGGAUGAAGAGUCGAAGGAAAUGAAGACUGAAAACCGCACGAGCCCCCUUCGCGGACCAACCUCAACGACAGCAUCGAGCCUCACCGCAACGUCACCAUCCGCGGUGUCUACGGCGACGACGGCGGACCCCAACGCCUUGCCUUCACAAGCGCGGCGUCACAUCUCAUUUGCGAAGGAAGUUGCCCUCUCACCGCCUGCGUCGCUGAGCUCACAGAGCACGACGACGAGCACUCUGCCAACGACAGGGAGCAGCGCACCCGCUCUUUCGCGCAAGCUUGCCAAUCCAUUUGCCAAGACCUCUGUGACGCCCGUCAAGGCCGCUGACCAGGUGCGGCAUACGUCGCUGUCGAACCCCCAGCAGUCGCACCAUCAGCAUCAGUCCCAGCUGCAGGCGGCGCUUCCCACCUCUAAGCCCCACUCCUCGACGGCAACCGCCACGGGGGCCGCCACACUCUUGGGCUCGUCGCAGCUGCACACCCCGCCGCGCACCCGCGUUGCGGCGACAAGGACGACCGCCGUUUCUGUUGUUCAGGAGAGCGACGCCGCCAAGUGUGUCUUCGCGGAUGACACCACGCCGACAGGAUCGCGUGUGAGUGCUGCGCGCACUCCAUCCUCACCGAUCCACGGGGCAAGCCCUGUGCCCACUGCCAGCACGGGCGGCAGUGCCGUGACACCUUCCGUGUCUGCCACCACGUGCAAGCCUGACGUGCACCGUGCAGCCGCCUCGACGUCCUCUCCCGCGUUUGUCGCACGCGAGCUGCCGACCACGAGCGCCACUCUGGUGGCGAGCGACACGCCCCGUCUCAGCAGCGGCGCUUUCGAUCCGUUUCUUGAGGAGCCGCGGAAAUCUUUCGCUGGCACCCCCAGCUGUGAGUUUCUGAUGGGCUCCCACACCAGCGCCACGUCCGCAGCGGCGGAGGCACCUAUAUCGGUGCAGUCACUGCUCGAUGUCGGACACGGCGAAACGGCCCCGGUGGUGCGCAGCGACAGCUUCGGUGAGGCACUCCGCAAACGCUACCGUGAGGAUGAGGAAGAGGACGCCGAGGAGGCACCGCUUGCGACGCUCCCAAAGCUGUCUGUGUGACAAGUCAGCAUUCGGGGGAGCCCAGUCGGAAGCGGGUCUUCAUCGCCGCUAAUGUGCGUUCGUGGGGCCCAUACAGUGUUGGCUGCGCACGUGGACUGGCACAUGUUGCUGUUUUCUUGUUUCGGCUGGUGUGGCGACUCUGUCUUACAUGCAGCAUCGACGAUGACAGGAAGGGCAGCCGUCUUCGUUGACCAAAGAGAUGCGCAUGAGCGUGAGGCGGUACGCCAUUCAUCCGAUCACCACGUCUCGCAGAUGGGAAAAGGGAUGGAAGUGCGACCACCUUCGCUACCCUUUUUUGCUCUCCUACCUGCAGUGCAGGACACGCC